This 704-nucleotide ribosomal RNA is filed under the name Escherichia coli. RNAcentral's name for it is "bacterial SSU rRNA". It matches the Rfam family "Bacterial small subunit ribosomal RNA", at positions 74 to 771 of the family's 1533-position model. Lineage: Bacteria; Pseudomonadati; Pseudomonadota; Gammaproteobacteria; Enterobacterales; Enterobacteriaceae. The record is from RNAcentral.
AGCAGCUUGCUGCUUUGCUGACGAGUGGCGGACGGGUGAGUAAUGUCUGGGAAACUGCCUGAUGGAGGGGGAUAACUACUGGAAACGGUAGCUAAUACCGCAUAACGUCGCAAGACCAAAGAGGGGGACCUUCGGGCCUCUUGCCAUCGGAUGUGCCCAGAUGGGAUUAGCUAGUAGGUGGGGUAAAGGCUCACCUAGGCGACGAUCCCUAGCUGGUCUGAGAGGAUGACCAGCCACACUGGAACUGAGACACGGUCCAGACUCCUACGGGAGGCAGCAGUGGGGAAUAUUGCACAAUGGGCGCAAGCCUGAUGCAACCAUGCCGCGUGUAUGAAGAAGGCCUUCGGGUUGUAAAGUACUUUCAGCGGGGAGGAAGGGAGUAAAGUUAAUACCUUUGCUCAUUGACGUUACCCGCAGAAGAAGCACCGGCUAACUCCGUGCCAGCAGCCGCGGUAAUACGGAGGGUGCAAGCGUUAAUCGGAAUUACUGGGCGUAAAGCGCACGCAGGCGGUUUGUUAAGUCAGAUGUGAAAUCCCCGGGCUCAACCUGGGAGCUGCAUCUGAUACUGGCAAGCUUGAGUCUCGUAGAGGGGGGUAGAAUUCCAGGUGUAGCGGUGAAAUGCGUAGAGAUCUGGAGGAAUACCGGUGGCGAAGGCGGCCCCCUGGACGAAGACUGACGCUCAGGUGCGAAAGCGUGGGGAGCAA